This is a non-coding RNA of Vicugna pacos (alpaca), 1931 nucleotides long. Lineage: Eukaryota; Metazoa; Chordata; Mammalia; Artiodactyla; Camelidae. The record is from RefSeq and is a predicted model, not a curated record.
ACCCUCUUUGCGCUGCCUCCUGUGACCCUAGCGACCCCGGGGUAUGGUGCCCAGCUUUUCUGCAGAUGAAAAGCACUGAGUUAAAUAACUUGUCUAAAGUCCCAGUAACUUGGGAGCUGGAAUUUAACCUGGGUCCCUGAUGCCAAAGCCUGUGCCACGCUGACCCUUGUGGCAAGGUCCCCCUGCGUCGGGACCCACAUGGCUGAUCGCUCCCCGCCCCCGAUGGCCUUCAUGAUGAGCCACUAGGGAAGCCCAACAGCACCCAUGACUCCUCCCUGGAGCCUUUCCACCCCCAAGUUUGCAGCUCAGGUGUAACGACUUUCAAAGCGCAGGGAAGGUGCCAAACCAGCCUGCAGCACCCCCACCCCCUGCCCAGAAGCGCUUGCUAAAUGGACAAAGUAUCCAUCCGUGCAGAGGGGAGCUGCACUCCUGAAAGACAAACCUGCAGCUGGAGGAGUCGGAGCGGGGCCCUGGUUUUCAUUUGUCAUCCUCCCUGACCUCUGUGCCUCUGCGCGGGUGGUGAGUCUCCCCUUGCCCCCUAAGUUGCCUUGAGCAAAUCCCUCCCAGUCUGACUUUAGGUCCCAAGUAACAGACCGCCUGGGGAGGGGGGCCAGGCUCCGUUCAAACCCACCUGUUCCCUGUUCGCAGGUGCAGGAGGGGGAGUCUGGGGACUGAGGAUCAGAGGCUGCCUCAGGGAAAGGGCUGCUGUGGGCAGGAAGGGGGGCCGCAGACCAGCCCCCGAGCCAGCACGUCGGGCCGUGGAGACAGGCGGAAGCGCUGGCCGAGCAGAAUCUAAGGAGGAAUUGAUCCGUGUCUGAGCACGGAGUGUCUGGCUGUCUCCUGGGGAAGCAGACAGGCCCUUUCUUCCAGAAUUCGUGUCCUCGGGCCACAUUCAACAUGGCGUUUUCCUCCUUUAAAGCACCCAGUGUGUUCUCGCCGCCGGACAUCAGUGUGGCCUGAUACUGCGGGGGCACCCACCCCGGCCCCGCUCCACCCUCCCCGAGCCCCGUGUCCCCGCCCCUUUCUUCUGCCCUGGACCCCAGAGCCCAGGAGGUCUCGGAAGGGCCGAGCGGGCUGGUCCUCCCACCCGGAUGCCCAGCGGGCCCUGAGCUACCAACGGGCUUCUGUCCAGCUGCGCGGCUGGGGCCGGGGGCGCCGCGUGCUCGGACGGUCUGUGCGCACGGGCUCGCCGGCUGGUCGAGGUCGGGUCGUGCGAAAACCCGUCAUCUCUCACGAUGCGAGUGUCAUUGAGCCCUAGCGGACACACGGUGCUCUGUAAGCUUAAGGUGGACAGCCUGACGCCCGGGAUCCAUACGCUGCAGCAACCACACCUGAGCCACCUGGAAGGCUGUCCCCGGCUCAUGCCUUUGCGCCCGGCUGUACCACGAGCCCCACAGCAGCUGUCACAGUGACACCCUGACGUAAGUGUGCUGGAGACGGGGGGGGAUCUGGGGUGGGCUUGCCUUACAAGUGAGGUGUGUGUGCAGCUGUCCUCAGGGUGAACAGUGAUUCUGCACUUUGGACCUGAAGACCAGGUAGGGUCACAACUGCGGCCCCUGCACAAACUCAGCCAAGGGCGCCUGUUACCCCUACAAGCGCUCUGGCUUCUUGGUGCCUCCUGUCCCCCAGCAGGGUCUGGGCUCAGCUGUAAGCAACUGCUGCCAUCUUUGACUCUGCAGCAGGAGGCGCGAGCUACUCGACCUGAGCAGACAGCCUGUCUCGGGCAGCACCUCCUCUGGCCACACGCAGCUGGGACCCGGCCAGCGCCUGUCACCUGAGGAGCCGCCACGGUAUAAAGGGGCCAGAGAGGAAAAGGCCUCCCAUUACAAGUCCCCCCGUGCAGAGCCGGCCUCAGGCCUCAGAAGGACGCGAAAAGCAAGGUGUUCAAUUUAGUUUUGGAAACUCGAAUCCAAACCCUCAAGAAAGGCCUG